RNAcentral lists this long non-coding RNA (2186 nucleotides) under Homo sapiens (human). RNAcentral's name for it is "non-protein coding CCDC18-AS1:20". Lineage: Eukaryota; Metazoa; Chordata; Mammalia; Primates; Hominidae. The record is from RNAcentral.
UGCAACUAACUCAGAUUUUGAGCAAACAAAGCUCUCAAGUUGGUGAUCCUCAGGAGUCUCUGCAUUAGUUGGACAGCUCUUCUGGAAUUAUCUUCUAAGUCAACUGUGGGUUGGGUAGGUGGCUCUGCUGAUUUUUCGCUGGACUUCCACAUUUGGGACGAGUUGGCUGUCAUCAGCUCUAGAAAGGGUGUGGCCGUUUUACAUUGGCUGUUUUCCUCACAUUCCUCAAGCAGGUACUGUAAUAAAGAACUGGAGAAAUACAGUCAGAUGGGAAGUAGCCCUUGCUGUCAAGGAGCUUGCCAUCUAAUGGGGGAGACAGGCAAGUAAACCAAAGACUACACAGUGCAGUAUGGUAAGUGCCAUGAUUUUGAUGUGACAGGGCACAGUGGACGACCUUCCAAAUCAAAGCAAGUAACUAGGGGUUGACAAUGGUAAGUAUCAUAGUUGAAGUAUCCUUGAACAAGGUUUCAGGAAGAAGAAGAAGGGAAUUUCAUGCAGGGAAACAGCCAAAGCUCAGUGAGUCAAAAUAUCACAGCAUUCUUGGUAAGCCCAAUUGUUUUUUCUGUUUUGCUAUUUUGGUGGAGAGAAAGGAACACAUAAAGGAAUAACAUGAGAGAAGGCUAUUUGGGGAAGUGUAGUAGUUAAGGUUCUGGCUCAAACAACAACUGCAGCUCAUAAAGUUGACUUUAGUGGAAGGAUACUGGGGUAUCUCAUGGAAUCUUGGGAACUGUUGAAUAACCAGGGAAACUCUGGGAAACUCACUGGUAGGAAUCCAUAAACUGUCCUCCUGGUGGGCUGUAAACAACUCACCCUCUAUGCAUCUCACAUCAAAAUUCCAGUUUCUUGGGAAAACAAGUCUGUUUGCCCAAUUUGGGUCAUAUUUCCACGUCCAUGUUACUCAGGCAUGAUUCAUCUGCAAGUUAUGUGUAUAGAUAUUUUGCUACUGUUCCACCCUUACGCUGUGCUGGGGAGGGAGGUGUCACUGUGAGCUGUGUCGGUGCCUUAAGAGAUAUCUGUUGUGUCUUAUUACUUGGUUGCUUUUCCCCACAUGUACAAUGACAAAAAUGCCUUCAACCUAUUUGAUCCAGCCGUUCCAGUACAACUCCUAUACUUGCCAUCUUUCCAAGCCCAAAGGUACAUCCAGCUGAUGGAAGGAGCAUCUUGGUGUUAAUAUUCUUUUAGUCAUGGUCUCUGAAAGUAAAAUGUCUAUUCUUCUAAUUCUGGCACAAUCUUAUCUAGCUAUAGUUCCUCAUGGUCCUGCACUCCAUGGACUAAAUUGUAAGUAUAAUUACUACCAAUGUACUCUAUAAAUAACUUUUGGGGCCAGGGUGGCAAUAGUUGCUAGAGAGAAAAAAAAAAAAAAGGAAGGAGAAGAAAACAGUGAUAGUUCUUAUUUUAAAAGGAAAAAAAGAGGCAGGAGGCUCUCUUGAGGCCAGGAGUUUAAGACCAGCCUAGGCAGCAUUUCAAGACCCUGUCUCUACUAAAAAGUAAAAAAAAAAUUUAGUCAGGCAUGGUGGCAUGCACCUGUAGUCGUAGCUACUCAGGAGACUGAGGUGGGAGGAUUGAUUGAGCUCAGGAGUUUGAGGCUGCAGUGAGCAAUCAUCAUGCCAUUGCACUCCAGCCUGGGCAUCAGAGCAAGACCUUGUCUUUUAGGAAAAAAAGGCAGGGAAGAGGAAUAGGUAAUUUUUCAGUGUUCAGACAUUCCAGCAAUAUGUGUGGAGUACUCAUUCUCACUACAGUUUAUGAGGCCAUAGCUAGUAUGUAUGACUACCCAUCCAAGUUUCCCUGCUUACAGUUACUAUUCCAACUGAUUGGGGGGCUUUUCCUAAUAGAGUGAUUUAAGCCUUCAUUUUUAGACAUCUAAGCCCUUGGUGAUCAUCAGCAUAAAAUGUGACAAAUUAAACAAAAGCAAGACAGCACAUCAGAGAACAACUCUGAGGUGGAAUGAUUGGGAACCAAUGAAUAGUUGUUCAGUAAAUGGUUUAUAUUUUACAGAUGAUGAAACUGAAACACAAAAAAUUUAGAUUAACUCUUAGGUGACAAAGCCAGGAUUGAAGCUCAUGCGGUCUGGCUCCAGAACAACUCUUCUUCAUAGUUACGUUAUACUGCCCCUGCAUUGUUGGUAUUGAAAAAUUUCCUUUCAUCUCUGGUAAAAGUCAGCUCUCUAACUACUGCAUCUCACAGCU